AUAGGUUGUUUGCUUGUCGACAUUUUUGCUUGUAUGUUUACAAGAGCAGCAUAUGGAACCACUCAGGGGAAUGACAUUAUAAAGCUGAAUUUUGAUCCGUAUAUCUACUGUUUCUUUGUGGUUCUUUAAAGGUAAGUGCACUAUUAUCCAUUGCUGGGUUGCUUCAGUGACUUUAUGAUGAACCAUGGAACCACUCAAGAGUCUCACUUUGUAGAGCUAUCAUGGUAAGCAGGUAGCCAGGUAGAGAUAUCAGGGUCGGCUUGUUAUUUAUUUUCUUCCUUGCUUUGCAGGCUGUAUUGCUUAUUGCAUCGUACCUUGAUGUUCCUCUACGAUAUCCUUUGCGCUUGGGAGGCUCACGUUCAUAUAUUCAUGACUAUGCUCCUUCAGUUGAGUCUAUAUCAUCAGAUUACAAAGCCGUCUGAAUUCUAUCAAUUGAUAUUUUUCCUUAUUCAAUUAAGGUUCCAUGAUAAAAGAGUAUUUCAAGAUUACAUUUUCAUAUAUGCUUCAUCUUUCUAACUGAUUCAUGCAUAAUAAAAUCUGGUGGCCAAGUGGCACUUAUGGUUCAGUACUAAGAUGGUACAAUUUUCAUCAGAAGUUAAUUUUUAUUUCCCUACCUCUCCUAUCCCUCUUCCUCUACUCAAUUUUCUGAUAGGGUAUUAUUGGUUAAGCAGUUGAAAUCGAAGGUUGGUGAAGUGAUGUCCUCUCCUGCCAUCACUCUGUCACCUGACAAGACAGUUUUAGAUGCUGCAGCUUUGAUGCUUAAGAUGAAGAUCCAUAGGGUACCAAUCGUAAAUGAAAAACAGCAAGUUGUAGGAAUGGUUUCUCGAACAGACAUAUUCCAGGCACUGGAAACCCAGGUGGUAUAAGCUCUCUGCUUCAUAAGAAUGCUUAUCUGCUGUGUAAAUAUGAAAAUAAGUGUAAAUAUGAAAAAUAAGUUAAAGAAGCACAUAAAACAGGGCAGCUAUGACUUUGUGACUCCUAAUUGCAUAUUGUAUGAUAUAUUCUCUUCAUUUCUUUGUG
Molecule: non-coding RNA, 1020 nt
Organism: Phoenix dactylifera (date palm)
Lineage: Eukaryota; Viridiplantae; Streptophyta; Magnoliopsida; Arecales; Arecaceae
Source: RefSeq, a predicted model, not a curated record